RNAcentral lists this ribosomal RNA (1046 nucleotides) under uncultured spirochete. RNAcentral's name for it is "bacterial SSU rRNA". It matches the Rfam family "Bacterial small subunit ribosomal RNA", at positions 386 to 1421 of the family's 1533-position model. Lineage: Bacteria; Pseudomonadati; Spirochaetota; Spirochaetia; Spirochaetales. The record is from RNAcentral.
ACGGAGCGACGCCGCGUGGGUGAAGAAGGCCGUGAGGUUGUAAAGCCCUUUUCUUGUUGAAGAAUAAAACGGGGAGGGAAUGCCCCGGAGAUGACGUUAGGCAAGGAAUAAGCCCCGGCCAAUUACGUGCCAGCAGCCGCGGUAACACGUAUGGGGCGAGCGUUGUUCGGAAUUAUUGGGCGUAAAGGGCGCGUAGGCGGUAGUAUAAGCCUGGUGUGAAAGGCCACAGCUCAACUGUGGGAAUGCGCUGGGAACUGUAUUACUUGAGUUCUGGAGGGGAAGUUGGAAUUCCUGGUGUAGGGGUGAAAUCUGUAGAUAUCAGGAAGAACACCAGUGGCGAAGGCGAACUUCUGGCCAAGAACUGACGCUGAGGCGCGAAAGCGUGGGGAGCGAACAGGAUUAGAUACCCUGGUAGUCCACGCUGUAAACGAUGUGCACUAGGUGUCGGGUCACGAAGACUCGGUGCCGGAGCGAACGUGUUAAGUGCACCGCCUGGGGAGUAUGCUCGCAAGGGUGAAACUCAAAGGAAUUGACGGGGGCCCGCACAAGCGGUGGAGCAUGUGGUUUAAUACGUCACUAACCGUAGAACCUCACCCAGGCUUGACAUCUGCUGAAAGCGCCUGAAAGGGUGGCCCCGGUAUUUUUAUAUCGCAGCAAGACAGGCGUUGCAUGGCUGUCGUCAGCUCGUGUCGUGAGAUGUUGGGUUAAGUCCCGCAACGAGCGCAACCCUCAUGACGAUGUUGCCAGCGUAAAGUCGGGAACUCUUCGGAAACUGCCCGUGCAAGCGGGAGGAAGGUGGGGAUGACGUCAAGUCAGCAUGGCCCUUACGCCUGGGGCUACACACAUGCUACAAUGGAUGUAAACAAUGGGCAGCAAGACCGCGAGGUGGAGCAAAUCUCAAAAAUACAUCCUCAGUUCGGAUUGCAGUCUGCAACUCGACUGCAUGAAGUCGGAAUCGCUAGUAAUCGCGGAUCAGCAUGCCGCGGUGAUCCGUUCCCGGGUCUUGUACACACCGCCCGUACAGGGCGAUUCGCGCCGCUAUUCUC